UACGUAGGGUCCGAGCGUUGUCCGGAAUUACUGGGCGUAAAGAGCUCGUAGGUGGUUUGUCGCGUUGUUCGUGAAAACUCACAGCUUAACUGUGGGCGUGCGGGCGAUACGGGCAGACUUGAGUACUGCAGGGGAGACUGGAAUUCCUGGUGUAGCGGUGGAAUGCGCAGAUAUCAGGAGGAACACCGGUGGCGAAGGCGGGUCUCUGGGCCGAUACUGACGCUGAGGAGCGAAAGCGUGGGGGAGCGAACAGG
This 254-nucleotide ribosomal RNA is filed under the name uncultured bacterium. RNAcentral describes it as "partial 16S ribosomal RNA". It matches the Rfam family "Bacterial small subunit ribosomal RNA", at positions 524 to 776 of the family's 1533-position model. The record is from RNAcentral.